AUCUAAGCCUAUCCCAUAAUGCGAGGUUUACAGUAAUUAUUCAACGUACAUGAAGCAGUCAGAAAGUUUAUUGAGAUUUGAGAAAUAAAGUUACACUCAUAAGUAGCAAAACAGUGGAUGAAGAAGUGUGGGAUUAUGAGUGAUUAUUUCAUU
Long non-coding RNA from Ostrinia furnacalis (Asian corn borer), 153 nucleotides. RefSeq lists it as uncharacterized. NCBI's taxonomy places the organism in Eukaryota, Metazoa, Arthropoda, Insecta, Lepidoptera, Crambidae. The transcript is spliced from 2 exons. The record is from RefSeq and is a predicted model, not a curated record.